Molecule: non-coding RNA, 1874 nt
Organism: Mus caroli (Ryukyu mouse)
Lineage: Eukaryota; Metazoa; Chordata; Mammalia; Rodentia; Muridae
Source: RefSeq, a predicted model, not a curated record
UCUGAACAGGGAGUACUUGCAGCCAGAGGCUAAAGCCUGUUGAUCCGGAGUGAAACACUUCCUGCCUCUCCCUCUCAGAAAUGAAAUGCCCUCAAAGAUCCUGAUUACACGCCACAUCCAGAACCUCCUGACCUGAAGUUCCAACACCCCCGAUGGGCACUGGGUCUUCCUGCAAUUUCUCCACUACUGCCCACCUGUGCAAUCAGGGCAGCGUGCAGACUGUGGUGAUCAUCAUCCCAGCCCUGAACUCCCUGUCCACGCUGCUGGUCGUCAGCUGCAUCUUAUGGAAGACAUGCCGACGGCGGGCCCGCCUCACCUAUCCCAGCCCUCCAUCUCCAUGAAAGGACUCAGGGAAACCACUCCAGGACCCUGAUGGGCAUGGCAAUUUGUACAGAUGAUACAGAUCUUGGCGUAGACCAACUCGGAGCCCUGGUCUAGGCUUGGGCCGUAGCUGAUGAGCUAGUCAACCCUGUGGCUCUCCCUUAUCCAUACCACCAGAGUGAGUUUCUCCGGCACUGCUCCAACUAGGCCACCCAACGCCGACUUUGGCAGGAGGCAGGGUCAGCUCUCCUGUUGUGCUGCACAAUCAAGAUGUGGGGCCAACUCUCUCAAGUGCUGUAGCCUGUGAGGGGCUGGGCCAGGUUGCCCAUCUUCUCACCCUUGGGGCUGGCUCCCCUUCUGUGCUGUCCAGAGUCAACUCCACUGUGCUGCCUGGGCAAGGUACAACACAAGGCUUGCUCUUCCAAGUGCUGCCUCAGGUGAGAGAUGGGAGCAGCUCUCCAGAGUGGUGCAUCUAGUGAAGGGCGUGGCCAGUUCUGCACAGUCUCUGGACAUCCAUGUGUUCCCCAGCGACUGCCCCGACCAGGGACAUCCCCAUGUUCCCUAGUGGGCAUCAACACUGACCCCUGCCACUGCAGCCAUGAACCAGGCUGGACCUCACCAGGGCCCCAGGUGGUGGAGCUAGGCACCCACAACAGACUACUCUGCUCCACGCUUGAGUCUCCAGUUCCAUCUCUCUUCACAAUGCUGAAGCUGCUCCAUUCUCCAUGUGCCUUUCUCUCCCAUCUGAACACCACGUGCUCACACACUGUGGUGGCUCCCACUGCAGCCUGGCUAUGCAGCAGCAAAGGAAGUGGGACAUAAACACACAGAAGAUGACAGUGAAAGAGAACGAAACAAGUCCCAUACCAAGCAAGAAGUCACUUCGGAAGUCACCAAAGGCCCUCCAGCGAGAGGUGGGAAGGAGACUAAGAGGAACCCCAAGCAACCCCCACACCUGGAUGGCCAGGCCCCUCACGCUGCAGAGGCAGACACGGCUGGAAGGGACAGGAUUUAUGUUGCAUACUUGAACUACAGCGAGUGUAAGACUGGUCCUAUUUACAGGGCACAAACACUACAGGUGGAGCGUGGGGGUGGCGAAGCGAGCACCAGAGUCCUGGCCAGAGGGUACCAGCCUGCCGCCUUAUCCACCUCUCCGGAGGCAUCUCCUUGGCCCCGCUGGGAUUCUCUGGGAAAACAGGCCCGCUCACAUGAUGCUUGCUGGGGUGAAGACAGGGCCCACACACAAGGUGUCUGUGAUCUCCCAGCCGCAGGACAGAGGUUUGCACACACCCUCGGCGUCCUGGUCUUCUUCUGCAGGCAACAGCUGCCCUCGAAGCGCUUCCCUGAGAGCAAGAGACAAGUGGGGAUGGCACCUGGCAUGGGGACAGAGGCCCAGAUCUUCCUGGGACCCCUGCUUCUAUAUAGAGUCCAGUCUCAUUACACACAGGACUCUCACCUAAGCCCUAAGCACAGACAAAGGCCUGUGAUCCAUGUCCCCACUGUUUCUCCCCAGUGGUUCCCACCACCUAAUAAAGGAAAGGUGUUCAUAUUUA